The sequence is a small nuclear RNA, 193 nucleotides long. Its record names the gene U2. It matches the Rfam family "U2 spliceosomal RNA". From Rfam's summary of the family: U2 is a small nuclear RNA (snRNA) component of the spliceosome (involved in pre-mRNA splicing). Complementary binding between U2 snRNA (in an area lying towards the 5' end but 3' to hairpin I) and the branchpoint sequence (BPS) of the intron results the bulging out of an unpaired adenosine, on the BPS, which initiates a nucleophilic attack at the intronic 5' splice site, thus starting the first of two transesterification reactions that mediate splicing. The record is from Ensembl.
AUCGCUUCUCGGCCUUUUGGCUAAGAUCAAGUGUAGUAUCUGUUCUUAUCAGUUCUCGGUGGGAGUCGUGCGGUGUAUGGGGCACCACUGAGAUUUGUUUUUUUUAGCCCCAACACCUUUUAGCACUUUUAAACCCAAAAGCCUUUUCAAAGGCUAAAGCACUUACAGAGCCCUUUUUAGGGCUCUGCACCCC